Molecule: long non-coding RNA, 277 nt
Organism: Cygnus olor (mute swan)
Lineage: Eukaryota; Metazoa; Chordata; Aves; Anseriformes; Anatidae
Exons: 3
Source: RefSeq, a predicted model, not a curated record
UGACUUCACUGAUGUCCUUCAGACUCCUCUUCGUUAACAUGCUACCAGUCCACGGCCUUGGGAAGGGUGAUGUUGCGGUUCCUGAUGAACAUGAAAACUGGCUCCAGCUUUGGAAGCACUGCAGUAGUCUAAGGAAGAAUUAAUGCAGGUACCUGAUUUACCCAGUGCUGCAAUUUCAAGGAGUCCAAGAUAGAAAUCCAGGACUUUGUUUUGGGGUUGAUGAUGAUGGUGGAGAGUUCGUAAAACAACCACUCAGCCUUUCUGAUCUACUAAAAAU